AUGGAUCUUUGUAUGUCUCAUG
Molecule: microRNA, 22 nt
Filed under: Strongyloides ratti
Lineage: Eukaryota; Metazoa; Nematoda; Chromadorea; Rhabditida; Strongyloididae
Description: str-miR-8384-5p
Source: miRBase by way of RNAcentral